CAGCAGCCACGGUAAUACGUAGGUCCCGAGCGUUGUCCGGAUUUAUUGGGCGUAAAGCGAGCGCAGGCGGUUAGAUAAGUCUGAAGCUAAAGGCUGUGGCUUAACCAUAGUACGCUUUGGAAACUGUUUAACUUGAGUGCAAGAGGGGAGAGUGGAAUUCCAUGUGUAGCGGUGAAAUGCGUUGAGAUUGGAAAGAACACCAACGGCGAAAGCACUCUGUUGAGCCGACACUGACAUUGAGAGACGAAAUCUAGGGGAGCAAAUGGGAUUAGAUACCCGGGUAGUCCCUGUCUCUUAUACA
Molecule: ribosomal RNA, 301 nt
Filed under: uncultured bacterium
Lineage: Bacteria
Description: partial 16S ribosomal RNA
Rfam family: Bacterial small subunit ribosomal RNA
Source: RNAcentral